This 282-nucleotide ribosomal RNA is filed under the name Uroptychodes epigaster. RNAcentral's name for it is "partial 28S ribosomal RNA". It matches the Rfam family "Eukaryotic large subunit ribosomal RNA", at positions 65 to 333 of the family's 3401-position model. The record is from RNAcentral. Lineage: Eukaryota; Metazoa; Arthropoda; Malacostraca; Decapoda; Chirostylidae.
CCAACAGGGAUUCCCUUAGUAAGUGAGACUGAAACGGGAAGAGCCCAGCGCAUAACUUUGCGCAAGGGGUGUUGCGUUUCGGAGGGCCCCAGGCCGUCGGUCGCUGCUAAGUCUUGCUUGAACGCAGCCAAUGCCCAGGGAGGGUGCUAGGCCCGUAUGGCAGUUAGUAGUCCCAGGACGAAAGAGAACCGACGGAAGGGGCCUUCUGUAGAGUCGGGUUGCUUGGCAUUGCAGCCCAAAGAAGGUGGUAAACUCCAUCUAAGGCUAAAUAUACCCACGAGA